RNAcentral lists this ribosomal RNA (492 nucleotides) under uncultured bacterium. RNAcentral describes it as "partial 16S ribosomal RNA". It matches the Rfam family "Bacterial small subunit ribosomal RNA", at positions 29 to 523 of the family's 1533-position model. The record is from RNAcentral.
AUUGAACGCUGGCGGCAUGCUUUACACAUGCAAGUCGAACGGUAACAGGUUAAGCUGACGAGUGGCGAACGGGUGAGUAAUGCAUCGGAACGUGCCCGAUCGUGGGGGAUAACGCAGCGAAAGCUGUGCUAAUACCGCAUACGCCCUGAGGGGGAAAGCGGGGGAUCGCAAGACCUCGCGCGAUUAGAGCGGCCGAUGCCUGAUUAGCUAGUUGGUGGGGUAAAAGCCCACCAAGGCGACAAUCAGUAGCUGGUCUGAGAGGACGAUCAGCCACACUGGGACUGAGACACGGCACAGACGCGUACGGGGGGCAGCAGUGGGGAAUGUUGGACGAUGGGAGCAACCCUGAUCCAGCAAUGCCGCGUGAGUGAAGAAGGCCUUCGGGUUGUAAAGCUCUUUUGUCAGGGAAGAAACACCGGCUCUAACACAGUCCGGGAAUGACGGUACCUGAAGAAUAAGCACCGGCUAACUACGUGCCAGCCGCCGCCGUAA